This 497-nucleotide ribosomal RNA is filed under the name uncultured bacterium. RNAcentral describes it as "partial 16S ribosomal RNA". It matches the Rfam family "Bacterial small subunit ribosomal RNA", at positions 28 to 507 of the family's 1533-position model. The record is from RNAcentral.
GAUGAACGCUGGCGGCGUGCCUAAUACAUGCAAGUCGAGCGAACAGAUGAGGAGCUUGCUCCUCUGACGUUAGCGGCGGACGGGUGAGUAACACGUGGAUAACCUACCUAUAAGACUGGGAUAACUUCGGGAAACCGGAGCUAAUACCGGAUAAUAUAUUGAACCGCAUGGUUCAAUAGUGAAAGACGGUUUUGCUGUCACUUAUAGAUGGAUCCGCGCCGCAUUAGCUAGUUGGUAAGGUAACGGCUUACCAAGGCAACGAUGCGUAGCCGACCUGAGAGGGUGAUCGGCCACACUGGAACUGAGACACGGUCCAGACUCCUACGGGAGGCAGCAGUAGGGAAUCUUCCGCAAUGGGCGAAAGCUUGACGGAGCAACGCCGCGUGAGUGAUGAAGGUCUUCGGAUCGUAAAACUCUGUUAUUAGGGAAGAACAAAUGUGUAAGUAACUAUGCACGUCUUGACGGUACCUAAUCAGAAAGCCACGGCUGACUACGUG